This 497-nucleotide ribosomal RNA is filed under the name uncultured bacterium. Its description in RNAcentral is "partial 16S ribosomal RNA". It matches the Rfam family "Bacterial small subunit ribosomal RNA", at positions 28 to 507 of the family's 1533-position model. The record is from RNAcentral.
GAUGAACGCUGGCGGCGUGCCUAAUACAUGCAAGUCGAGCGAACAGACGAGGAGCUUGCUCCUCUGACGUUAGCGGCGGACGGGUGAGUAACACGUGGAUAACCUACCUAUAAGACUGGGAUAACUUCGGGAAACCGGAGCUAAUACCGGAUAAUAUAUUGAACCGCAUGGUUCAAUAGUGAAAGACGGUUUUGCUGGCACUUAUAGAUGGAUCCGCGCCGCAUUAGCUAGUUGGUAAGGUAACGGCUUACCAAGGCAACGAUACGUAGCAGACCCGAGAGGGUGAUCGGCCACACUGAGGCAGAGACACGCGCCAGGGUCCUAAGGGCGGCAGCAGUAGGAAAUCUUACGCAAUGAGCGGAAGCCUUGCGAGACAACGCCACGUGAGUGAUAAAGAUCUUCGGAUCGUAAAACUCUGUUAUUGUGGAAGAACAAAUAUGUAAGUUACUAUGCACGUCUUGACGGUACCUUAUCACAAAGCCACGGCUAACUACGUG